RNAcentral lists this transfer RNA (71 nucleotides) under Bos taurus (domestic cattle). It matches the Rfam family "tRNA". From Rfam's summary of the family: Transfer RNA (tRNA) molecules are approximately 80 nucleotides in length. Their secondary structure includes four short double-helical elements and three loops (D, anti-codon, and T loops). The record is from Rfam by way of RNAcentral. RNAcentral also lists the same sequence under 1 other name. Lineage: Eukaryota; Metazoa; Chordata; Mammalia; Artiodactyla; Bovidae.
UCCCUAUAGCUCAGCCGGCAAAGAAUUUGCCUGCAAUGCAGGAGACCCAGGUUCCAUUCCUGGAUUGGGAA